GAUGAACGCUGGCGGCGUGCCUAAUACAUGCAAGUCGUGCGAACAGAUGAGGAGCUUGCUCCUCUGACGUUAGCGGCGGACGGGUGAGUAACACGUGGAUAACCUACCUAUAAGACUGGGAUAACUUCGGGAAACCGGAGCUAAUACCGGAUAAUAUAUUGAACCGCAUGGUUCAAUAGUGAAAGACGGUUUUGCUGUCACUUAUAGAUGGAUCCGCGCCGCAUUAGCUAGUUGGUAAGGUAACGGCUUACCAAGGCAACGAUGCGUAGCCGACCUGAGAGGGUGAUCGGCCACACUGGAACGGAGACACGGUCCAGACUCCUACGGGAGGCAGCAGUAGGGAAUCUUCCGCAAUGGGCGAAAGCCUGACGGAGCAACGCCGCGUGAGUGAUGAAGGUCUUCGGAUCGUAAAACUCUGUUAUUAGGGAAGAACAAAUGUGUAAGUAACUAUGCACGUCUUGACGGUACCUAAUCAGAAAGCCACGGCUAACUACGUG
Molecule: ribosomal RNA, 497 nt
Filed under: uncultured bacterium
Lineage: Bacteria
Description: partial 16S ribosomal RNA
Rfam family: Bacterial small subunit ribosomal RNA
Source: RNAcentral